This 434-nucleotide ribosomal RNA is filed under the name uncultured Oscillospiraceae bacterium. RNAcentral's name for it is "partial 16S ribosomal RNA". It matches the Rfam family "Bacterial small subunit ribosomal RNA", at positions 341 to 792 of the family's 1533-position model. Lineage: Bacteria; Bacillati; Bacillota; Clostridia; Eubacteriales; Oscillospiraceae. The record is from RNAcentral.
ACGGAAGGCAGCAGUGGGGGAUAUUGGGCAAUGGGCGCAAGCCUGACCCAGCAAUGCCGCGUGAAGGAAGAAGGCUUUCGGUUUGUAAACCUCUUUUAAGUGGGACGAUAAUGACGGUACCACUUGAAUAAGCUCCGGCUAACUACGUGCCAGCAGCCGCGGUAAUACGUAGGGAGCAAGCGUUAUCCGGAUUUACUGGGUGUAAAGGGCGUGUAGGCGGGACAGCAAGUCUGAUGUGAAAGCACGGGGCUCAACUUCGUGUCUGCAUUUGAAACUGCUGUUCUUGAGUGCUGGAGAGGCUAACGGAACUCCUAGUGUAGCGGUGAAAUGCGUAGAUAUUAGGAAGAACACCAGUGGCGAAGGCGGUUAGCUGGACAGUAACUGACGCUGAGGCGCGAAAGCGUGGGUAGCAAACAGGAUUAGAUACCCUGGUA